RNAcentral lists this ribosomal RNA (303 nucleotides) under uncultured bacterium. Its description in RNAcentral is "partial 16S ribosomal RNA". It matches the Rfam family "Bacterial small subunit ribosomal RNA", at positions 507 to 807 of the family's 1533-position model. The record is from RNAcentral.
AGCAGCAGCCGCGGUAAUACGGAGGGGGCUAGCGUUGUUCGGAAUUACUGGGCGUAAAGCGCACGUAGGCGGUUAUGUAAGACAGUUGUGAAAUCCCCGGGCUCAACCUGGGAACUGCAUCUGUGACUGCAUAGCUAGAGUACGGUAGAGGGGGAUGGAAUUCCGCGUGUAGCAGUGAAAUGCGUAGAUAUGCGGAGGAACACCGAUGGCGAAGGCAAUCCCCUGGACCUGUACUGACGCUCAUGCACGAAAGCGUGGGGAGCAAACAGGAUUAGAUACCCCCGUAGUCCCUGUCUCUUAUAC